ACAAUGAUACUUCUCUACGGAGCGGCUGGAGAACCCAGCCGGGGUGAGAUUCCCAUGA
RNAcentral lists this non-coding RNA (58 nucleotides) under unclassified sequences. RNAcentral's name for it is "pemK RNA". It matches the Rfam family "pemK RNA". The record is from RNAcentral.